RNAcentral lists this ribosomal RNA (474 nucleotides) under uncultured Lachnospiraceae bacterium. RNAcentral's name for it is "bacterial SSU rRNA". It matches the Rfam family "Bacterial small subunit ribosomal RNA", at positions 48 to 507 of the family's 1533-position model. Lineage: Bacteria; Bacillati; Bacillota; Clostridia; Lachnospirales; Lachnospiraceae. The record is from RNAcentral.
UUAACACAUGCGAAGUACGAGACGAAGACGAUAAGGUGAAAGUUUUUCGGUAAUGAAGCCAUAUUGACUUAGCGGGCGGAACGGGUGUAGGUAACGCGUGGGGUAACCGUAGCCUCAUACUAGGGGGAGUAACAGUUAGAAAUGACUGCUAAUACCGCAUAAGCGCACGGGACUGCAUGGUCCAGUGUAGAAAAACCGAGGUGGUAUGAGAUGGACCCGCGUCUGAUUAGCUGUUGCGGGGUAACGGCCCACCAAGGCGACGAUCAGUAGCCGACCUGAGAGGGUGGCCGGCCACAUUGGGACUGAGACACGGCCCAAACUCCUACGGGAGGCAGCAGUGGGGAAUAUUGCACAAUGGGGGAAACCCUGAUGCAGCAACGCCGCGUGAGUGAAGAAGUUAUUUCGGUAUGUAAAGCUCUAUCAGCAGGGAAGAGAAUGACGGUACCUGACUAAGAAGCCCCGGCUAACUACGUG